UACGUAGGGUGCAAGCGUUAAUCGGAAUUACUGGGCGUAAAGCGUGCGUAGGCGGCUAUGUAAGACAGAUGUGAAAUCCCUGGGCUCAACCUAGGAACUGCAUUUGUGACUGCAUAGCUGGAGUGUGGUAGAGGGAGAUGGAAUUCCGCAUGUAGCAGUGAAAUGCGUAGAUAUGCGGAGGAACACCAAUGGCGAAGGCAAUCUCCUGGACCUGCACUGACGCUCAUGCACGAAAGCGUGGGGAGCAAACAGG
Molecule: ribosomal RNA, 253 nt
Filed under: uncultured bacterium
Lineage: Bacteria
Description: partial 16S ribosomal RNA
Rfam family: Bacterial small subunit ribosomal RNA
Source: RNAcentral